Stegodyphus dumicola is the source of this 308-nucleotide long non-coding RNA. Lineage: Eukaryota; Metazoa; Arthropoda; Arachnida; Araneae; Eresidae. The record is from RefSeq and is a predicted model, not a curated record.
UGGAACUUGACGUUGUAUUUCUUCUUUUAACAACACAGAUAGAUUUUAAUAUCUUUUACGAGGAAAGAAUGUUGUAACAUCCCAAGAUGGAGGCAUUCUGGGAUUCACAGUACUGGAAAAACCCACUUCCCGUUCUUGACCUUCAAGGAAAUGAUAUCUGGAAUUCAUCAAAUGAGGACGACGCUCAAGAGAGAAGGCGUUCAAUGGUACAGCAAUUCGCCGCCUCUGGUGCAGUACCAUGGAUAUCAGUAGGGGCCGAAUACAGACCGAUGAAGCAUCGCUUUUACAGAGCAGUGCAGAAGGUUACA